GGAUAGUGACGCCGUGGCUUGCGUGGGCGAUGGUCGCGCGACGGCGAUGCGACGCAUACGAAAUCAAAUCUUAUCGAUAUGGAAGUAGACGAUGCGAUGAGACCAUAAUCUCCAUAGUGGCAUCAACUCCCGUAAAGGAUCUUUUUACUGACUAACAAUAACAUCUUUUUUCAAUUGGUAAUAACUCUGAAGCUAGGCAAUAUCCAGAAAAGUAUAAGUACAUAACAUUAUAGUCUCUAAAAGUGGUCAGGAAUACACUGUUAAAAUCUUUUGACGAUGUUAAAAAUAUUUAGGGUCUGUUUAACAAUGUCUUACUAAAGUAUAGCUAAUCAAUAAAUUAUUUUACCAAAUAAAAAUUGUCAAUUUGUUAAUUGCACAAACUACUAAGAAGAUACUACGUUAAUUGUAAGUUACAGCUGGCAACAUUGUAUAUUGACGUUUCUCACGUUUCGAUUUACGGAAUACGUGGUCCAUAUUAUAACGCCUUUUGAAAUUUUGCACAUUUUAUUGAUUUUAUACAUGAUUAUGUAUUUAAUAUUGAUUACUUUAAAUGUAUAUUCUUCCUACAACAUUGUUCAAUGAUACAACUUUUUUAAGAAAUUUUAUGUGGAUGAAGAUGAAACGUAAUGCAAAUGUCAAAGAAAGAAAAUAAUUUUAGUUUAACUUAUGAAUCAUAAACAUACUGCUAAAAAUUCUAAACUUCAGGUCUAAUAAUAUAAACUACAUCUAAGUAUUUUGCAGUCCACAGGAUAAUUGAGGGAAGUUAGUUCUGAGAUGAUGAAAAUAAUAUAUGGUCUCAAAGGAAGUCGGCCUCAUUGUGAACAAGACGAAAUCCCGCUUUAUAUAAACCAAGGCAGGUUGGAAAAGUCCAGAAGCAAAUUUUAGAAGAAAAAUAUUGUACUGAAUAACUACAAUGGGCCAUUGAAGAAGAGAAGACGGCACAAGAGGGAAAUAUGGGCCUUAGAAAAAGAUAUCACGCCUCUAUCCCAUAAAGAGGUAGGCAGAGCACAUGAACUACUAAGUUUCUGUGCCACUCUUGGCAAAAAGGGGUGGAAAGAAAUCCAAAUUAUGACAUUGAAGAAGUGAAGACUAAAUAAGUAAACCAAAGGCCCCAAGAAUAUAAAAGACUGCAAUGAAAUUGUCAAGAAGAGGGUGCGAGAGCAGAA
Molecule: long non-coding RNA, 1166 nt
Filed under: Leguminivora glycinivorella
Lineage: Eukaryota; Metazoa; Arthropoda; Insecta; Lepidoptera; Tortricidae
Description: uncharacterized LOC125241173
Source: RNAcentral